GCGGCGGACGGGUGAGUAACACGUGGGCAACCUGCCCGCAAGACCGGGAUAACUCCGGGAAACCGGAGCUAAUACCGGAUAACACCGAAGACCGCAUGGUCUUUGGUUGAAAGGCGGCCUUUGGCUGUCACUUGCGGAUGGGCCCGCGGCGCAUUAGCUAGUUGGUGAGGUAACGGCUCACCAAGGCGACGAUGCGUAGCCGGCCUGAGAGGGUGACCGGCCACACUGGGACUGAGACACGGCCCAGACUCCUACGGGAGGCAGCAGUAGGGAAUCUUCCGCAAUGGGCGAAAGCCUGACGGAGCGACGCCGCGUGAGCGAAGAAGGCCUUCGGGUCGUAAAGCUCUGUUGUGAGGGAAGAAGGAGCGCCGUUCGAAGAGGGCGGCGCGGUGACGGUACCUCACGAGGAAGCCCCGGCUAACUACGUGCCAACAGCCGCGGUAAUAC
Molecule: ribosomal RNA, 447 nt
Filed under: Geobacillus sp. H20C024
Lineage: Bacteria; Bacillati; Bacillota; Bacilli; Caryophanales; Anoxybacillaceae
Description: bacterial SSU rRNA
Rfam family: Bacterial small subunit ribosomal RNA
Source: RNAcentral